This 761-nucleotide ribosomal RNA is filed under the name Paraphysomonas imperforata. RNAcentral describes it as "partial Bacterial small subunit ribosomal RNA". It matches the Rfam family "Bacterial small subunit ribosomal RNA", at positions 369 to 1122 of the family's 1533-position model. The record is from RNAcentral. Lineage: Eukaryota; Chrysophyceae; Chromulinales; Paraphysomonadaceae.
CAAUGGGCGCAAGCCUGAUCCAGCCAUGCCGCGUGCGGGAAGAAGGCCUUCGGGUUGUAAACCGCUUUUGUCAGGGAAGAAAAGGUUCUGGCUAAUACCUGGGACUCAUGACGGUACCUGAAGAAUAAGCACCGGCUAACUCCGUGCCAGCAGCCGCGGUAAUACGGAGGGGGUUAGCGUUGUUCGGAAUUACUGGGCGUAAAGCGUACGUAGGCGGGCUAUUAAGUUAGGGGUGAAAUCCCGGGGCUCAACCCCGGAACUGCCUCUAAUACUGGUAGUCUAGAGUUCGAGAGAGGUGAGUGGAAUUCCGAGUGUAGAGGUGAAAUUCGUAGAUAUUCGGAGGAACACCAGUGGCGAAGGCGGCUCACUGGCUCGAUACUGACGCUGAGGUGCGAAAGUGUGGGGAGCAAACAGGAUUAGAUACCCUGGUAGUCCACACCGUAAACGCUGUCUACUAGCUGUGUGUGCCUUUAAGGCGUGCGUAGCGAAGCUAACGCGCUAAGUAGACCGCCUGGGGAGUACGGCCGCAAGGUUAAAACUCAAAUGAAUUGACGGGGGCCCGCACAAGCGGUGGAGCAUGUGGUUUAAUUCGAUGCAACGCGAAGAACCUUACCUACACUUGACAUGUUGAGAAGUUACCAGAGAUGGUUUCGUGCCUUCGGGAACUCAAACACAGGUGCUGCAUGGCUGUCGUCAGCUCGUGUCGUGAGAUGUUCGGUUAAGUCCGGCAACGAGCGCAACCCACAUCCUUAGUUGCCAGC